CUUUGUGGUUCAUGACUGGGGUGAAGUCGUAACAAGGUAGCGCUAGGGGAACCUGGCGCUGGAUCACCUCCUUACACGAUGAU
RNAcentral lists this ribosomal RNA (83 nucleotides) under Vibrio cholerae. RNAcentral describes it as "partial 16S ribosomal RNA". The stretch from base 1 to 74 matches the Rfam family "Bacterial small subunit ribosomal RNA", at positions 1460 to 1533 of the family's 1533-position model. Lineage: Bacteria; Pseudomonadati; Pseudomonadota; Gammaproteobacteria; Vibrionales; Vibrionaceae. The record is from RNAcentral.